Molecule: long non-coding RNA, 1202 nt
Organism: Contarinia nasturtii (swede midge)
Lineage: Eukaryota; Metazoa; Arthropoda; Insecta; Diptera; Cecidomyiidae
Exons: 3
Source: RefSeq, a predicted model, not a curated record
UUAAAUAUAAAUUGCUUAACUUGUUAAUGUUUGAUUUUAUUGUUAUAUUAGCGUUAUGUGUAUAUUGCGUUUUGGCCAAAAAUCGCAUUUGCCGUAGAGUUUGUGUGUGUGCGUGUGCGUGCUUUUCGAAUCAUUCCUUGGCUGUUUUCAAAUUGCGAAAAAACCGGACGCUCGAAAAUCUUCACUUCCGUCGCUCCAAAAUGAUGCGUCGUCGUUCACAGCAGGGUGAAUUGAAUAUUAAAUUAUUUUUGCCAUCAUGUUGCGAAACCGACGGCUUUGAACAUUUUCACUGUGUCACACACACACACACAAAAUCCAGUUCCGAAAUACAAAAUCAAAACACACUGUCUGACAUUUAUUUUCUGACUAUGGUAAAACGCAAUAGUUUCUCUCAUGUUUGUUGUUGUUGUUUCAACGAAAAUUUGCCACAGUCAGAAUUUUGAAAUGUCAGACAGAUUUUAAAGCCAACGCUUUGUAUGAGCUAAUGCAAUUCGGAUUUUAUUCACAAACAUUUAUCGCUGAGCAAAACGAAUCCUUAUGUCCAGAGAAGUAACGAAGCAUAUAUUUUUUUUAGUGGCCAUCACAUUUAUACGCAGACACACACACACAUACACAAAUAUACACAUAAAAAUACCCCAUAGAUCGCCAGUGUUUGAAUGAAGUGUUUUAUAGCAUUUAAGCCAAAGAAAGAAAAAAAAAUAAGAGAACGAAAAAUAAGAACGCUUUUUCAUCUCGUAAACUCCAUUCUCGGUUUGAACAUGGACGACCUAAUGAAUGUGUUCAAAUUAGUGUAAUAAGCACAUAUUCAACGUGACUGCCGUGUGUUUUUUUUUUUCGUUAGUGUAAGCCAGAUAAUUUCUGCUUUUUGAACUUUAUACGUUAGAAUAACACGCUUUUACAUUUAGCUAACCGUUUUCUUUUUAUUUCGUUUGAAUUUUUCCGCUGAUGAUGCUUUUCGCUGCUGUUGUUGUUGUUACUGCUGCUGCUGCUACUGCAAUUGAAUACUAAUGCACCGAGAAAUCAAUUGUGAUGAGAUCGAAAAGAGAAACUAAACGAGCUUUUGCCCAGCGAAGCUUUUCGCGAUGGAGCUUUUUUCAUUAAAGUUACUGGACACCCUCCCGGUGUGCCAAGAUUUUAAUCGAUCCAUGUGUAAUCGGCCAACAUGUCGUUUUGUUCAUCUAACUGAAGCUGAUAAAGUUGAG